CUGCAUUUUACCUGCAGUUACUCUUUAUAUAGUUAGGUAGGAGUCAGACCAUGUUUCUUUUUAGCUGAAAAACAUUACACCAGGUAACCUGCAGUGUUGAAAACUUGUUUUCCGACGAUGCUACCCUACAAUCCGUCCUGCUCUGUAGUAAAUUCAGCGACAUCUGACCGUCCUGUUGCUCCCAUUGAAAUAUACAGCCAGGUUCAUAAUGGAUAUAAGGAAGUUUUUUCAAAAACAGGUGCAACAUUCAGUCCAAAGAGGGAGAGAGGAAAGAGGGGAACGUGAGGAGAAAGUAGAAGGUCAGGAAGAACCAGAGUUUCUACCAGAGCCAAAUGUCAUCGACUCCUCACUGAAGUCGUCCACCAGUCCAACCACUGGAAUCCAGCUGCUGCUCUCUAACUGGUCCACACAGCAGCUCAGACCUGACACAUUCACUGUAAACACACUGGUUUAUAUUCUGUUUGUUCUCCUCAUGAAGGAAACCUCACACAACCACUGAGGGCAGAAAGUUCAAAUGGAGAGUUUUUGUUAUUUUCUUUUAUAAAGAAGCUCAAGAGAACAGGCCUUUCAGAAUAAAAGCAUGACCAAGACAUCAUUUAUACAUAAACAAUAAUAAAUGGAAUGUAACUAAAAUGUAGAUUGUAGUGGCGGCACUCCGUCUCUAUUUCACUCUUCUGUCCCACCUUUAGGAGUCAGUCCGGCAACAUGCAUUUGAACGCGAGCAAGUCCAUUUUCUUUUCUUGCAAAAAAGAUGUUUAUUGAAACUUUGAAUUUACAUGGCAAGGCUCGGUCAAAAAACUGUGUUGCUUCCAGCUUAUCCGACUCCCCAACUACGUAAUUACGGUGUGCCGGAAGCCCAAAAUACUAAAAAGCGCAUUAGAAUGUCGCACUUCUAUAUUUUUAUACCUUUAACAAACAGUAUUUGAAAUUAACUAGAAAAUAUAUUCUUAGCAACAAACAUGUAUAUUUCUCCUUUAAUCGUUUUACCACUACCAAUAAAAUUAACCUUUAACUGGCUCUUACAUCAUCCGGCCCCUAAUUGGUUAGGCGGGAGAACUAAACAAUUACUAACUUACACAUUAAUCAUUAAGAGCCAACCUAAUUGUAAUGUCCAUGAGCAAACAUUCUUUCUCUUCAUCGUUCUGAUGAAGCCCCCUCCAGAAGACACAACUUAUUAACGGGUCUUUCCAGGAUGUUGCUUUUAGUUUUUACUUUCAAUCUUCGGACUGUUCCACUUGAAUCUGGCAACGUCUCAACCACUCUCCCCAUGAGCCAAGAGUUGCGUGGAGAAGAACUGUCCACCAGCAGCACAAGAUCUCCGACCAUGAAGUUUCUUCUCGGUUUCAGCCACUUCUGGCGCUCUUGCAGAAGUGGAAGAUAUUCACGAGUCCAUCUGGUCCAAAACAAAUCUGCCAGAUAUUGAACCUGUCUCCAUCUUCUUCUGGUGUAUGCAUCAUUUUUGUUGAAGACACCUGGAGGCAUGAGGGGCUGUGACUUAAGCAACAACAGAUGGCUCGGAGUUAAAGCUUCAACGUCAUUCAUGUCAUCCGAGACGCUUGUGAGAGGUCUGCCAUUAAUGAUGCUUUCAAUCUCACACAUUAUCGUAUGAAGACAAUCUUCAUUUGGCACUUGUUCCUUCAAGAGAGCGCUGAGAAUUCGACGCACUGUUCGAAUUUGUCUCUCCCAAACUCCACCUUGAUGUGAAGCAGCCGGGCUGUUAAAAAUCCACUUUAUACCUUUUGGUUGUAGGACUCUUUCUAUUCUGUCAUUAUCCAAUCUUUGCAUGGCUUCCCUCAACUCCCUUUCCGCUGCCACAAAGUUUGUGCCAUUAUCUGACCUCAUGAUGGUAACUUGACCUCUUCUGCAGAUGAAACGUCGAAUCGCAUUGAUACAGGAGUCUGUGUCAAGACUGUCUGCAACUUCAAUAUGUACAGCUCUGAGAGUGAGGCAGGUAAACAUGACACCAUAUCUUUUGACAGUACCCCGGCCCCGCUUGACAUCAAAUGGGCCAAAGUAGUCAACACCAGUGUUCGUGAACGGAGGUUUGUCUGGUAGAAGACGGUCUUCAGGUAAGUCUGCCAUCCUCUGUUCACCAACCCUUCCAGAAAUCCUACGGCAAAUUUGACAUUUGUUGAUUAUCUUUCUAAUUGCCGAAUUGGCUUGUGGAAUCCAAUAUCUGCAUCGCAACCGGGCCAGCACAUAAUUGCGACCACAGUGACCAAUUCGUUGAUGGAUAUCUCUCAAGAUGAUUUCAGAGACUUUGCUGUGUUUAGAAAGAAUUGCUGGCUGUUUAGCAUUUUCUGGCAAGCCUGAUUUAUUGAGUCUGCCGCCCACUCUCAGCACCCCAUCUCGCAGAACUGGGUCUAAUUUGAACAGCUGGCUGCUACAACUGAGCUGUCCUCCCUUCUGUAGGAUUUUGAUCUCCUCUCCAUAAUGUUGUUUCUGGCUGAAGCGAACAAUUUCUGACUCGGCAGCCUCAAGAUCCUCCAAAGCAAGUGCUUUCUUUCCCAUUGCAGAUUUAAAUGUCUCCAUGUGCACUUGCAACUUUAACUUUUGCUUUUCAGGAUCAUUUUCAUUUUUCUGGACUAUGUUCGAGUAAUGUUUUCUUUCUUCCUUUAAGAUCCACAGCACCUUCCUUAGCUUUAUUAUCCAGGCCACUGCUCUUUUCAGUUUAGUCCAGUCUGAAUAGUAGUCAAUGACAUGUUUCAUCGGUUCCAUGCAUUCCUCAACUUUCAGCAUAUUAACCGUUGCUGAAGUCUUGACUUCUGGAUCAUCUUGAAGGUUUUCCCUCUUUCUCACUGGCUGUUCUGGCCAUUCAUUUUCAUCUAGAAGAUAGUUCGGCCCGUGAAUCCAUGAACCUCUUUCCAGCAGAUCUUUUGGCUUUAAGCCUCUGCUUGCUUGAUCUGCAGGAUUUUCUGCCGAUGUCACAUACUUCCAUUGCGAUGGCUUGGUUGCUUCUCGAAUCAGUGAAACUCUAUUUGCAACGAAAGUUUUGAAGCGAGAUGUUUCGCUAUCAAUGUAUCUAAGCACAGUUGUGCUGUCC
This is a long non-coding RNA of Oreochromis aureus, 3043 nucleotides long. The record is from Ensembl. NCBI's taxonomy places the organism in Eukaryota, Metazoa, Chordata, Actinopteri, Cichliformes, Cichlidae.